ACACAAUAGUUUUAUGAGAAAACAUGUUUUUUGGGGAAACACAAUAGUUUUAUGAGAAAACAUGUUUUUUGGGGAAACACAAUAGUUUUAUGAGAAAACAUGUUUUUUGGGGAAACACAAUAGUUUUAUGAGAAAACAUGUUUUUUGGGGAAACACAAUAGUUUUAUGAGAAAACAUGUUUUUUGGGGAAACACAAUAGUUUUAUGAGAAAACGUUUUUUUGGGGGGAACACAAUAGUUCUAUGAGAAAACAUGUUUUUUGGGGGGGAACACAAUAGUUUUAUGAGAAAACGCAAAUGUCUUGCAAGCGAAAGCAAAGUUUCCCUGGGCAAUUCAAUUGUUUUGAGACAGAAUGGCAAGUUUUUGAUAAAUACCAAAGUUUUACAAGCAAAUGCAAAGUUUCAUGUGGGAAUGCAAUAUUUUUUGCGAGUGAUCACAAAGUUUCUUGUGGGAAUGCCAUGCUUGAACAAUCAUUUUGCAAGAAAACGCAAAUGUUUUGUGAGAGUGCAAGUGCAUGCAAAGUUUAUCAGGGGACUGAAAUGUUUUACAGGUGAAUGCAAUCGAUUUGCGAGAGAACACCAAGUUUCUCUGGGGAAUGCCAUGGUUUUACAUGCGAACGCGUAGUUUCAUAGGGAAUGCAAUACUUUUGCAAGAGAACGCAAAGUUUCUCAGGGGCACGCAACACUUUUACAAGAGAGUGCAAAUCUUUUGAGAGGGAACGUAGUUUUUGGGGGGAAUGCAAUACUUUUCACCAAAACAAGUUGUUUUGUGAGUGAAUACAGAGUUUCUCGGGAUACUCAAAUGUUUUGCAAGAGAACGUCAAGUUUCUGGGGAAUGCAAGCACUUUACAAAAAAAAAAAACAUGUUUUGUAUGAGAAUGACAAGUUUCUCUGGGGAUUGUGACACUUUUGCGAAAGAACCCAAAAGCAUUUUAAAUAUAAUUCUUCCUCCCAUCUCAUAUUUGUUUCCAUCAUGUCCUCUUAUUGGCUCCAUAGUGUUUCGAGUAAAAAAGACUGUGAAUUUUAGAAACGUAUAUCUGCUUUUAGUCAAAUUCCAAAAAUUCUCUAUCCAGACUAAAGUCUGCUAAGGGAAAAAGUCCCUUCUGCGUGACUGAAUAUAUAUAUAACGUUCCUGACAGUCGUGAUCUCCAGAGUGCUCAUACUUUUGCACGUUCCCCAAAGGCCCCCAUGACUCCAGCCGGCAUGAAGCUCAAAGCUCUCACAAUCAUUAAGACACGGUCAC
Molecule: long non-coding RNA, 1241 nt
Organism: Cyprinus carpio (common carp)
Lineage: Eukaryota; Metazoa; Chordata; Actinopteri; Cypriniformes; Cyprinidae
Source: Ensembl